RNAcentral lists this ribosomal RNA (301 nucleotides) under uncultured bacterium. Its description in RNAcentral is "partial 16S ribosomal RNA". It matches the Rfam family "Bacterial small subunit ribosomal RNA", at positions 509 to 807 of the family's 1533-position model. The record is from RNAcentral.
CAGCAGCCGCGGUAAUACAGAGGGUGCGAGCGUUAAUCGGAUUUACUGGGCGUAAAGCGUGCGUAGGCGGCUUCUUAAGUCGGAUGUGAAAUCCCUGAGCUUAACUUAGGAAUUGCAUUCGAUACUGGGAAGCUAGAGUAUGGGAGAGGAUGGUAGAAUUCCAGGUGUAGCGGUGAAAUGCGUAGAGAUCUGGAGGAAUACCGAUGGCGAAGGCAGCCAUCUGGCCUAAUACUGACGCUGAGGUACGAAAGCAUGGGGAGCAAACAGGAUUAGAUACCCGCGUAGUCCAUGUCUCUUAUAC